AUGCAGGCGCAGAUCGAGCAGGUGCUGCAACUCUCCAGAGCCCUCGCCGCCGCGCACCCACAAGUGCAGAAAGUUCACUUACCCUGCUACUAUAACAAACUGCUGGUGGUGGCUCUUUCACAGGCAAAGCUCAAGGUGAAGAAGGCCAUCGAGAAGGGCAACGCCGACGGCGCCCAGAUCUAUGCGGAGAACACCAUCCGCAAGCGCACCGAGCACAUGAACUACCUCUGCCUCGCCUCCCGCCUCGCCCCAUAUGCCCAUGAGUGA
RNAcentral lists this ribosomal RNA (267 nucleotides) under Triticum aestivum (bread wheat). RNAcentral's name for it is "partial small subunit ribosomal RNA". Lineage: Eukaryota; Viridiplantae; Streptophyta; Magnoliopsida; Poales; Poaceae. The record is from RNAcentral.